Molecule: long non-coding RNA, 2851 nt
Organism: Mercenaria mercenaria
Lineage: Eukaryota; Metazoa; Mollusca; Bivalvia; Venerida; Veneridae
Exons: 6
Source: RefSeq, a predicted model, not a curated record
GGAGACCACACACAUCUAGGUACUGGUAAUUUGAAUGUGUACUGGUAAAAACAAUUAAUUUGAAGAACAUUUCUUCUAUAUGGAAACAGAAUGCUUCAACUGAGCAUUUAUACUGAACAAAAAAAAAAUCACACAAUAUAGACACCGUACUUAGUGGUCUGUGCGUAAAUUUUAUUUCAUAAAAGAUGAAAGUUACAUGCUCACCGGUUUAUUCGGUCUUUGACUUCCGGUUUGAUUUGACGUUUUGGGAAAGAAAGAAAGUGUUGAUGAUUUAUGUGUGAUAUAGUGGAUUCGUGUGGCUGUCAGCGAUAUUUGAUACGCGUAGCUUUUGCAGAGAAGUAUAACUUUCUAUUAAUCAAUAACGAUUUAUUUGAAUAAAUGCUAUAAAUAUAAAAAAGACACGUGAAUUGAGACGUGUUUAUCUUUUACUUUUAUGUGGGAUAGUUCGGUGGUGACAAAUGACAGAAAUACAAGUUUAAAGACUUCCACGAACAUUUACUGGUACUGCCAGUUUUGAAGUGUAUGUACUGAAUAAAUUGUGUAGAAAAAUUUAGAGAAAAUGGACCUCGGAUUCAAUUAAAAAAGUUGCAUUAUAUAUUCAGUUACAAAAUAUCGUCACUGCUUUACAUAUCGUCAUUGGAUAUUGUGUUUUUAUCUCAUUUUGAUGCAAGGUGAUGGUAACAUUAAUUUAGUGUACUUGAUAUUGUGAAGAACUCUCAUAUGCAUUCAUACUGUUGUGGAUUCACGUAUACGAAAAUGUUGAAAAUGUUGUUCUGAACAGUUAUGAAGGCUGUAUAGUAGCAUGUGAAUAUUAUAUGAGCUGUGACAAGACCUGAAAGAUUUUGAAUUAUUAAGAUACAGUACACUGGAUGUGGUGUUUAUGACCUUUCAAUCGAUGAAAUAUGUGAGGACAAAAGAAAUGGCACACUUAAGUUUAUUUAACUGUCUUUGGUGUCUUCUCAAGUGUAUGGUAAUAACAGAUGCAAAUGGGUAGUCACAUAUUGUUACAGUUGUUAAGACAGAAACUUUUAGUCUCAAAUCACAGCUCUGAGCUUUGUCCAGGUAUAAGAAUAUACCCAAAAGAUGGAAUAUAUUAAAUAUUUAUUGGAAUCUGAGUGUGGUAUGAAGUGUGAUAUUUUGACUUGAAACAUAACUCCAUGUGAUACUUUAUUUAUCUCAUGACUUUGUAACUGACUGAAAAUGUUAAUGUAAUUUGUAUAACUAAGAGUGAUUGUGUAGCAGUUUUUGGCUACAAGUAAAAACAUGACUUGUGUAUUAUUUUAAUUUUCUUCUAGUGAAUUUAUGAACUAAUAAAAACUUAAAUAUAUAUUAGAUAUUUUUCAUGGUUUUUAAAUAAAAAAAAUAGAAAUCUGCAGGGUAUUUUCAGUAGAUCGUUGGUGUAGGCUAAGAUGAAUAUUUAGGUUUAUUUCUUAUUGCAAGAUAUAAGACUAACACUUUUUGAGUUUUGUUUAGGAGUUCAUCAUCAUUUGUUAAGGAAGUUGUGCGAGAACCAUAACUUUAUUUGCAUCAAGAAUUAUGGUAUUUCUACACAUAAAAAGUCUCCCUGGUUAUUUUUUCCCAAUUUUUGGAAUACUGUUUGAGCUAUAGCUUUGAAACAUUGUUCACUUGUUUAUUACUGUUAUUAGAUAAUUGAGUACACAGAAUCAUUACUCGACAUGUAAUAUUUUGAGAAAUUAUGAACCACUUCAACAAAGAGAUUAGGACUUUCUUGUUAAGCGUCCAUUUUCUAUGAAACUAAAAUGCACAAACUGUAAAAUGUACAGCCUUAAAACUUUGAACACUUAUUUUUGUAGUUGGAUAGUUUAACUCUUAUAUUUUUUGGUACUAUUACAGGUAUAGUUUUAUAUUUAUACAUUUCUUAUCAACAGUAGGUCAGUUAGAAGGCAAAAGAAACAUAAUUCUUUUCUUGCAUGUAACCUAAUGUCUAGCAUUAGCACCCUAAGUCAGUGCUCUGUUAAUUUUUCUUUGAGAGCAUAAUAAUAUCAGAGUAGUUGUAUGUGCCAAAGGUAGUUUUAGUAACACAUUAUUUUACAUGAAAUGAGUAACUGUUGCUUAUAUAUUUUUAAAACUUUUAAUGAAGAAGGUACAUGAUAUUUAGUUCUGAAAGUGUUAAUAAUGAAAUUAUUGCAUUUACUGAUUUUGUUUAAUUCUGGUAUUCUUUCUUUUACAAAUACUAUAAAAAAAUAUUCAUUAUCAUGUAACUUAAAUAAUUGAUAGAAUUUUUAGCAUCCAAUUUAUUUGCUGAGUUUUAUAUUUAUAAAACUGGGGUCUCUUUGGCUGAAUGGUUAAAGUGUCAGAUUUCUUAGCACUUGCCUAUCAACAAUGUAGGUUUGAUCCUCAUUCAGGUAAUUGAUUUCUUAAAGUGAAUAAGACAUCCAACUAGCUUACAGAAGAUCACUGGUUCUACCCAGUUGUCUGCCAGUGAUCAUCACUGUGAUGAUCUGAGAUAUUCCUCCACCAUCAAUUCUGGAAAUUCAGCAUAUGACCUUGAGUCUGCACGACAUUAACAUCACCUCUCCUCAAGAUACAUUUGUAUCAGUUAGAAUUGUUUUCUCAGUUAUUUACUACAAACACAAUUAAUAGCAUUUGAAUUACAUGUAUACUGAAAAAAAAUGCUAAAGGGAAGUAAUAAAAAUUGUAAUUGAUGCAUAAAGGGAAGUAAUAAAAAAUUGUAAAUGAUGCAUAAAGGGAAGUAAUAAAAAUUUUAAAUGUUGUUAUGUGCCUUUAAUAUAUUGAUUUUAUAAUAGAUGAAGAUUUAUUUUUAUAUAUAAGGACUUGAAAAAUUGCAUGUUAUUUAAGAUAUUUUGUGAAAAUAAAUUGUGCCAAACUA